GUUAGUUGCCAUCAUUCAGUUGGGCACUCUAGCGAGACUGCCGGUAAUAAACCGGAGGAAGGUGGGGAUGACGUCAAAUCAUCAUGCCCCUUAUGACCUGGGCUACACACGUGCUACAAUGGUUGGUACAACGAGUUGCGAGUCGGUGACGGCGAGCUAAUCUCUUAAAGCCAAUCUCAGUUCGGAUUGUAGGCUGCAACUCGCCUACAUGAAGUCGGAAUCGCUAGUAAUCGCGGAUCAGCACGCCGCGGUGAAUACGUUCCCGGGCCUU
This 271-nucleotide ribosomal RNA is filed under the name uncultured Streptococcus sp. RNAcentral describes it as "partial 16S ribosomal RNA". It matches the Rfam family "Bacterial small subunit ribosomal RNA", at positions 1110 to 1382 of the family's 1533-position model. The record is from RNAcentral. Lineage: Bacteria; Bacillati; Bacillota; Bacilli; Lactobacillales; Streptococcaceae.